AUCAUGGCUCAGGAUGAACGCUAGCGGCAGGCUUAACACAUGCAAGUCGAGGGGUAUAGUAGCAAUACUAGAGACCGGCGCACGGGUGCGUAACGCGUAUGCAAUCUACCUUUCACAGAGGGAUAGCCCAGAGAAAUUUGGAUUAAUACCUCAUAGUAUAGUACCUUGGCAUCAAGGAAUUAUUAAAGUCACAACGGUGAAAGAUGAGCAUGCGUCCCAUUAGCUAGUUGGUAAGGUAACGGCUUACCAAGGCGACGAUGGGUAGGGGUCCUGAGAGGGAGAUCCCCCACACUGGUACUGAGACACGGACCAGACUCCUACGGGAGGCAGCAGUGAGGAAUAUUGGACAAUGGGCGCAAGCCUGAUCCAGCCAUGCCGCGUGCAGGAUGACGGUCCUAUGGAUUGUAAACUGCUUUUGUACAGGAAGAAACACUCCCUCGUGAGGGAGCUUGACGGUACUGUAAGAAUAAGGAUCGGCUAACUCCGUGCCAGCAGCCGCGGUAAUACGGAGGAUCCAAGCGUUAUCCGGAAUCAUUGGGUUUAAAGGGUCCGUAGGCGGCUUUAUAAGUCAGUGGUGAAAUCUCCCCGCUCAACGGGGAAACGGCCAUUGAUACUGUAAGGCUUGAAUUAUUAGGAAGUAACUAGAAUAUGUAGUGUAGCGGUGAAAUGCUUAGAGAUUACAUGGAAUACCAAUUGCGAAGGCAGGUUACUACUAAUGGAUUGACGCUGAUGGACGAAAGCGUGGGUAGCGAACAGGAUUAGAUACCCUGGUAGUCCACGCCGUAAACGAUGGAUACUAGCUGUUGGGUGCAAACUCAGUGGCUAAGCGAAAGUGAUAAGUAUCCCACCUGGGGAGUACGUUCGCAAGAAUGAAACUCAAAGGAAUUGACGGGGGCCCGCACAAGCGGUGGAGCAUGUGGUUUAAUUUCGAUGAUACGCGAGGAACCUUACCAAGGCUUAAAUGUAGAUUGACCGGUUUGGAAACAGAUCUUUCGCAAGACAAUUUACAAGGUGCUGCAUGGUUGUCGUCAGCUCGUGCCGUGAGGUGUCAGGUUAAGUCCUAUAACGAGCGCAACCCCUGUCGUUAGUUGCCAGCGAGUCAUGUCGGGAACUCUAACGAGACUGCCAGUGCAAACUGAGAGGAAGGUGGGGAUGACGUCAAAUCAUCACGGCCCUUACGCCUUGGGCUACACACGUGCUACAAUGGCCGGUACAGAGAGCAGCCACUGGGCGACCAGGAGCGAAUCUACAAAACCGGUCACAGUUCGGAUCGGAGUCUGCAACUCGACUCCGUGAAGCUGGAAUCGCUAGUAAUCGGAUAUCAGCCAUGAUCCGGUGAAUACGUUCCCGGGCCUUGUACACACCGCCCGUCAAGCCAUGGAAGCUGGGGGUGCCU
RNAcentral lists this ribosomal RNA (1396 nucleotides) under Flavobacterium sp. SOC A4(12). Its description in RNAcentral is "bacterial SSU rRNA". It matches the Rfam family "Bacterial small subunit ribosomal RNA". The record is from RNAcentral. Lineage: Bacteria; Pseudomonadati; Bacteroidota; Flavobacteriia; Flavobacteriales; Flavobacteriaceae.